This 253-nucleotide ribosomal RNA is filed under the name uncultured bacterium. Its description in RNAcentral is "partial 16S ribosomal RNA". It matches the Rfam family "Bacterial small subunit ribosomal RNA", at positions 524 to 776 of the family's 1533-position model. The record is from RNAcentral.
UACGGAGGGUGCAAGCGUUAAUCGGAAUUACUGGGCGUAAAGCGUACGCAGGCGGUUAUGCAAGACAGAUGUGAAAUCCCCGGGCUUAACCUGGGAACCGCAUUUGUGACUGCAUAGCUGGAGUACGGCAGAGGGGGAUGGAAUUCCGCGUGUAGCAGUGAAAUGCGUAGAUAUGCGGAGGAACACCGAUGGCGAAGGCAGUCCCCUGGGCCUGUACUGACGCUCAUGCACGAAAGCGUGGGGAGCAAACAGG